RNAcentral lists this long non-coding RNA (1001 nucleotides) under Dromaius novaehollandiae (emu). RNAcentral's name for it is "lncRNA (ENSDNVG00000005511.1)". The record is from RNAcentral. Lineage: Eukaryota; Metazoa; Chordata; Aves; Casuariiformes; Dromaiidae.
CCUUAUAAUAUCAACCAUAGUCAUCAUUGCUAUGUGCAUUCAGCUUUUAGCUUGUUCUGUGACUCCGUACGUGUGCAUGGGUUUAUAAGCACACACACAUAUAUUCCAUAGUGGUGGGCCUGUUAAACUGGACAGUGAUUUCUCUACUACCAAAACAAGUAUAAUAACAUGCAUGUAGUGAUGAUAGCUAAGGUGUUUGGGGAUGGGGAUGCAUAAUAUCUUAUAAAUGUGAAGUUUUUAUCAGGCAGAGCAGAUUACUUUAAGCGUUCAAUUUCUCGGCGAUCCAAUUUUAUUAGGAUUUACUAUCAUUUGUGCUGAGCAUCCCUGGGGAAAUAAUGCUUUGAUUAAUGUAAUCCUGGGCUGGGAUCCGCCACAUGCCCCUCUCCCAAGAGAAAGGCCCUGUUUGACAAACAAAAACAGAGCAGCAACUAUUGCAAUCUGCACUCACCUUUAGAAAGCACAGACACACACACACACACACACACACACACACACACACACACACACACACACGUAAAAUAUAACCACCUCCUCCCCCUACCCCAAAGACAAUAGUGGCAUUUCAAAACAAUGUGCACUCUUAUUCAUUUGCACACAGCGCCUCUGAUUCAGUGUGGGCUGUACAGUCCAGCCCUCAUCUGCACCGAGCCAGCCCAAAAAGGCUCCUGCUCUGUUCCCCACUGAGAAGCUGAAGCAUCCCUGGGAAGCUCAAUGCCUCUCUGUAUUUCAGGCUCUCCUUGGUCUCCCAACGUCUCUGCCUCUUUGUUUCCCACUGCAGGCCUUGCUGCAAACCGAUUUCAAGUCUGCUCGUUCAAUCCACCAGAGCUAGGGGCCCAAGAAGCUUUGUCACUGCGAGCGGCUCGGUGGCCCGUACCUGCAGGCACCUGCUUCUCGACCAGGGGCCCCAUUUAUUACAGAACCCGAAAGGCUUUGUUAUGCUCAACGCAAUAAAUAAGGUUGAGAGGGAAGCCUUCAUAAUAAAAGGUAUGGAUAAAUGAUCA